Molecule: ribosomal RNA, 253 nt
Filed under: uncultured bacterium
Lineage: Bacteria
Description: partial 16S ribosomal RNA
Rfam family: Bacterial small subunit ribosomal RNA
Source: RNAcentral
UACGUAGGGGGCAAGCGUUGUCCGGAUUUAUUGGGCGUAAAGAGCGUGUAGGCGGCCAUACAGGUCAGCUGUGAAAACUCGAGGCUCAACCUCGAGACGUCGGUUGAAACCGUAUGGCUAGAGUCCGGAAGAGGAGAGUGGAAUUCCCGGUGUAGCGGUGAAAUGCGCAGAUAUCGGGAAGAACACCGAUGGCGAAGGCAGGUCUCUGGGCAUUAACUGACGCUGAGGAGCGAAAGCAUGGGGAGCGAACAGG